This 165-nucleotide ribosomal RNA is filed under the name uncultured bacterium. RNAcentral's name for it is "partial 16S rRNA". It matches the Rfam family "Bacterial small subunit ribosomal RNA", at positions 355 to 511 of the family's 1533-position model. The record is from RNAcentral.
UAGGGAAUCUUCCACAAUGGACGAAAAGUCUGAUGGAGCAACGCCGCGUGAGUGAAGAAGGUUUUCGGAUCGUAAAGCUCCGUUGUUGGUGAAGAAGGAUAGAGGCAGUAACUGGUCUUUAUUUGACGGUAAUCAACCAGAAAGUCACGGCUAACUACGUGCCAA